UGAGGAAUUUUCGGCAAUGGGCGCAAGCCUGACCGAGCAACGCCGCGUGCAGGACGAAGGUCUUCGGAUCGUAAACUGCUUUUCUCGGGGAUGAAUUUAUGACAGUACCCGAGGAAGAAGCCUCGGCUAACUACGUGCCAGCAGCCGCGGUAAUACGUAGGAGGCGAGCGUUGUCCGGAGUUACUGGGCGUAAAGUGCACGCAGGCGGUCUGUUAAGUUCACGGUGACAGUCAUCAGCUUAACUGGUGAAGUGUCUUGAAAACUGACGGACUUGAGGGCCAGAGAGGGACCUGGAAUUCCGGGUGGAGCAGUGAAAUGCGUAGAUAUCCGGAGGAACACCAAUGGCGAAGGCAAGGUCCUGGCUGGCACCUGACGCUGAGGUGCGAAAGCUAGGGGAGCGAACG
This 404-nucleotide ribosomal RNA is filed under the name uncultured Ktedonobacterales bacterium. RNAcentral's name for it is "partial 16S ribosomal RNA". It matches the Rfam family "Bacterial small subunit ribosomal RNA", at positions 355 to 774 of the family's 1533-position model. The record is from RNAcentral. Lineage: Bacteria; Bacillati; Chloroflexota; Ktedonobacteria; Ktedonobacterales.